UUUGGCCUACGGGAGGCAGCAGUGAGGAAUAUUGGUCAAUGGGCGAGAGCCUGAACCAGCCACGUCGCGUGAGGGACGACGGCCCUACGGGUUGUAAACCUCUUUUGCCGGGGGACAAACGGCGGCACGCGUGCCGUCCUGAGGGUACCCGGAGAAAAAGCGUCGGCUAACUCCGUGCCAGCAGCCGCGGUAAUACGGAGGAUGCGAGCGUUAUCCGGAUUUAUUGGGUUUAAAGGGUGCGUAGGCGGGAUGCCAAGG
This 258-nucleotide ribosomal RNA is filed under the name uncultured bacterium. RNAcentral's name for it is "partial 16S ribosomal RNA". It matches the Rfam family "Bacterial small subunit ribosomal RNA", at positions 333 to 588 of the family's 1533-position model. The record is from RNAcentral.